This 361-nucleotide long non-coding RNA is filed under the name Pan troglodytes (chimpanzee). Its description in RNAcentral is "long non-coding RNA NONPTRT012870". Lineage: Eukaryota; Metazoa; Chordata; Mammalia; Primates; Hominidae. The record is from RNAcentral.
GAGGGUCUCUGGCUGCGAGGGCCUUGGGAAGAACACUCACUCCCGGCCAUACUUGCGUGUGAGUUCUGACCCCUGGAGGAGCCACUGUGGAAUCAGAGCAAUCGCCAUGGAGUUUGUGAUGAAGCAGGCCCUAGGAGGUAGGAAGCGGGAGGUGGGGUGGGGAGGGGCUGAGGGGACAUGGAGAGACCACCACAGCAGCUGCUCCUCAUCUGGCCCACCGCAGCAGCGCCCCUGCAGCCACACGGCCACCCACGCAGCCCUACACAGGAGCCUGGGGCAGAGGAGCAAGGACCGUGCCCAGCAGCGCCCCCAGCCCGGCCCUUUUCGAGGCCCCGAGCCAGAACUGGUGUCCCUGGCGGGA